AACGAACGCUGGCGGCAUGCCUAACACAUGCAAGUCGAACGAGACCUUCGGGUCUAGUGGCGCACGGGUGCGUAACGCGUGGGAACCUGCCCUUAGGUUCGGAAUAACUCCCCGAAAGGGGUGCUAAUACCGGAUAAUGUCUUCGGACCAAAGAUUUAUCGCCUUUGGAUGGGCCCGCGUUGGAUUAGCUAGUUGGUAGGGUAAAAGCCUACCAAGGCGACGAUCCAUAGCUGGUCUGAGAGGAUGAUCAGCCACACUGGGACUGAGACACGGCCCAGACUCCUACGGGAGGCAGCAGUGGGGAAUAUUGGAAAAUGGGCGAAAGCAUGAUCCAGCAAGGCCGCGUGAGUGAUGAAGGCCUUAGGGUUGUAAAGCUCUUUUACCCGGGAUGAUAAUGACAGUACCGGGAGAAUAAGCUCCGGCUAACUCCGUG
Molecule: ribosomal RNA, 433 nt
Filed under: uncultured bacterium
Lineage: Bacteria
Description: partial 16S ribosomal RNA
Rfam family: Bacterial small subunit ribosomal RNA
Source: RNAcentral